This 674-nucleotide ribosomal RNA is filed under the name Bouteloua disticha. Its description in RNAcentral is "eukaryotic LSU rRNA". The stretch from base 247 to 402 matches the Rfam family "5.8S ribosomal RNA". The record is from RNAcentral. Lineage: Eukaryota; Viridiplantae; Streptophyta; Magnoliopsida; Poales; Poaceae.
ACCUGCGGAAGGAUCAUUGUCGUGACCCUUACAAAAACAGACUGUGAACAUGUCAUCCAUGCCGCCGGUUGAUGGGUCUUGUACCUGUCUCUCGGAAAAGGGUGCCAACCCUCUUUGUAGGAUAGGCACCCUUAAAGAACCCACGGCGCCGUUUGGCGUCAAGGAACACUGAUGCUGCUGCUGUGCAUGGGUGUGGACCGGCAUGCUGGUUCCACAUUCAUGCAGCGACUAUGCGAUAAUCCACAUGACUCUCGGCAACGGAUAUCUUGGCUCUCGCAUCGAUGAAGAACGUAGCAAAAUGCGAUACCUGGUGUGAAUUGCAGAAUCCCGUGAACCAUCGAGUUUUUGAACGCAAGUUGCGCCUGAGGCCUUCUGGUCGAGGGCACGUCUGCCUGGGUGUCACGCCAAAAGACACUCCCCUUCCAUCAUGUUGUGAAUGAGGAAGUGGUAUUUGGCUCCCCGUGCUUUCAUGUGCGGAGGGCCCAAGUUGGGGGUGCCUGUGGUGCCGAUCACAGCACAAGGUGGAUAGCGAAAGUUGUUGUUCUUAGUGCUAUGUAUUGGACCACAUUUUGGUAAUUCCCUUAUAAACCCUAUGCUCCAAAGCACAUAUCGCUUGGACCGCGACCCCAGGUCAGUCGGGACUACCCGCUGAAUUUAAGCAUAUCAAUAAGCGG